This is a small nuclear RNA of Rattus norvegicus (Norway rat), 106 nucleotides long. NCBI's taxonomy places the organism in Eukaryota, Metazoa, Chordata, Mammalia, Rodentia, Muridae. The record is from Ensembl.
GUGCUGGCUUUGGUAGCAUAUAUAGUAAAAUUGGAACCACACAGAGAAGAUUAGCAUGGCUCCUGUUAAGGUUGGCAAAAAAAAAAAAAAAAGUCAAGUAAUUAAG